CCUACGGGAGGCUGCAGUGGGGAAUAUUGGGCAAUGGGCGCAAGCCUGACCCAGCAACGCCGCGUGAAGGAAGAAUGCUUUCUGGUUGUAAACUUCUUUUAAGAGGGAAGAGCAGAAGACGGUACCUCUUGAAUAAGCCACGGCUAACUACGUGCCAGCAGCCGCGGGAAUACGUAGGUGGCAAGCGUUGUCCGGAUUUAAUGGGUGUAAAGGGCGUGCAGCCGGGAAGACAAGUCAGAUGUGAAAUCCCGCGGCUCAACCGCGGAACUGCAUUUGAAACUGGUUAUCUUGAGUACCGGAGAGGUCAUCGGAAUGCGUUGUGUAGCGGUGAAAUGCGUAGAUAUAAGGAAGAACACCAGUGGCGAAGGCGGAUGACUGGACGGCAACUGACGGUGAGGCGCGAAAGCGUGGGGAGCAAACGGGAUUAGAUACCCUUGUAGUC
RNAcentral lists this ribosomal RNA (442 nucleotides) under uncultured bacterium. Its description in RNAcentral is "partial 16S ribosomal RNA". It matches the Rfam family "Bacterial small subunit ribosomal RNA", at positions 338 to 795 of the family's 1533-position model. The record is from RNAcentral.